GAGAGCCGUGUGAUGGGUUACUAUCCAGCACGGUUCGGAGAGCACUUGUGUAGCCUGCACCGGUUCACGAGACACAGAAAGGGGCCUCUUCGCUUUGCUUGCCGUCCGCCUUUGCCCUCGUAGAGCCAGCCAAGCGGGGCGAGCCCCCGCAGGUGUACCCUUGACUCUCU
This is a non-coding RNA of Picea glauca (white spruce), 170 nucleotides long. The record is from Rfam. NCBI's taxonomy places the organism in Eukaryota, Viridiplantae, Streptophyta, Pinopsida, Pinales, Pinaceae.